This 485-nucleotide ribosomal RNA is filed under the name uncultured bacterium. RNAcentral's name for it is "bacterial SSU rRNA". It matches the Rfam family "Bacterial small subunit ribosomal RNA", at positions 10 to 507 of the family's 1533-position model. The record is from RNAcentral.
AGUUUGAUCCUGGCUCAGGAUGAACGCUAGCGGCAGGCUUAAUACAUGCAAGUCAAGGGGUAGCAAUACAACCGGCGCACGGGUGAGUAACGCGUACACAACAUACCAUAUACUGGAGUAUAGCUUUGGGAAACUGAAGGUAAUCCUCCAUAACAUUGCGAGAGGGCAUCUGAUUGCAAUUAAAGUUUCGGCGGUAUAUGAUUGGUGUGCGUUUGAUUAGCUAGUUGGUAGGGUAACGGCCUACCAAGGCGACGAUCAAUAGCUGGCGUGAGAGCGCGACCAGCCACACUGGAACUGAGACACGGUCCAGACUCCUACGGGAGGCAGCAGUAGGGAAUAUUGGACAAUGGAGGAAACUCUGAUCCAGCCAUGCCGCGUGAUAGAUGAAGGCCCUCUGGGUUGUAAAUAUCUUUUAUCUGGGAAGAAACACUCCUAUUCUUAGGAACUUGACGGUACCAGAGGAAUAAGCACCGGCUAACUCCGUG